Molecule: long non-coding RNA, 1347 nt
Filed under: Parus major (Great Tit)
Lineage: Eukaryota; Metazoa; Chordata; Aves; Passeriformes; Paridae
Description: lncRNA (ENSPMJG00000015684.1)
Source: RNAcentral
UGGAAAGUUCUCUGGAAGAUGGGGACAUUCCCAACUUUAGAGUACUGGCAGAACAUCCUAUUUCUGCAGACUCUUCCGAAAGAAAUGCUUUGUAAGACUGUGUGCAUUUCCUUGGGACACUCAUCUGGGAAAAAUUAGGAUAAUUUCUUUAAUCAGGCAUUGUGGCUGAGGCAGGGAGAAUCGGGGAGCCACAUGACCUCUCUCUCAUGUCCUUUGUGGCUGUGUAGGAUGGGGGGAAUCCAUCCUCUACUAAUGUGGCACUGCAGGCUUAGACAGCCCAAUGAACCAUUCUGUUUGCCCUCAGGCUCCUCCAACUUGAAAUCAAGCAACAGAGCCACUUUCCUGCAUGGAAGCUGCUCAGCAGGAGAAACAGGGAAGAGAUAGCAGCUGCUUAGAGCUCUCCCCUUUUGCAUCCAAGCUGCUUGCUGGCCCUGAGGUGCAGGGAGGGGGAAAGGGUGAUGGGAGGCAGCUGGGGAAUGUGAUGCCCUCUGUAUCCUUCCUGUAGUGACAAGCCUUAUUCAAACACUUCAGUUUGAAAAGCUCAGAGUGCAGCUCCAGGAGAAUGCUUUCAAUUCAUAAUCAAAUAUGGGGCAAUAGCAGAUGGAUAAAACAAACAAAUGUGGGGGAGGAUGAGGUACAUUCUCAAACACUCUGGAGUGUGUUCUGGGAAGAAGACACCCACUUUCUACAUGUUAUUUCUCAUUCAAGGAAAUCUAUGGGCCACAUGAUUAAGAUCAGAGUCAAGAAUACAACUGUGCAGAUCUCAACCACUGGGACCAUUGCUGUGCACUGAGAUAACCAAAAAAGAGCUUGAAGAACUCUGGACUGAAAUCAGGGGAUUUAGAAGAAAAGAGUGGAUGCCCUUAAACACUUUUCCCCUGAACAACUCCAAAUGUGGUGAUUGCUGUUUGACCUGACUGGCACUGUCUGAAUGGGAAGGGGUGGCAAUGAUGUUUGGAGCUGUUGAUAAGGAUUUUGAUUGAAAUACUGCAUGCCUCAAAGAAUCAAGGAAUGGAAGGUGAGUAGCUUUUGGAUUCAGUCCUCAUCCCUUCUUGAAUGGUUAAAAGGAAGAGAGUGCCAUGUAAUCAGAACUGAAAUUUCAUUAAAGGCAUGGAACAGAUUGUGUGGUUCUCAUUUACACCUGCACAAAUUUGGAUUUGGUCCAUGAAGUCCAACUACACACUGGUGGAACUGAGCCUGGUAUCUUAUGCGUGGUCUCUGAGUCUGGCAGCAGUGGUGGGUGAGCUGCUGUCAGGAAAUGGGGCAUGUGUUUCUGUCCUCAGAUCUGUGUGCUAAGUGCUAGGCCUGGCCUGACAGAUGUUAAAAGUGCCUCUGAGUAAGCAGGGG